This 360-nucleotide ribosomal RNA is filed under the name uncultured soil bacterium. RNAcentral describes it as "bacterial SSU rRNA". It matches the Rfam family "Bacterial small subunit ribosomal RNA", at positions 26 to 386 of the family's 1533-position model. The record is from RNAcentral.
AGAUUGAACGCUGGCGGAAUGCUUUACACAUGCAAGUCGAGCGGCAGCGCGGGGCAACCUGGCGGCGAGCGGCGAACGGGUGAGUAAUGCAUCGGAACGUGUCCAUGUCGUGGGGGAUAGCCCGGCGAAAGCCGGAUUAAUACCGCAUACGCCCGAGAGGGGAAAGUGGGGGACCGCAAGGCCUCACGCGAUUGGAUCGGCCGAUGUCCGAUUAGCUAGUUGGCGGGUAAAGCCCACAAGGCGAUGAUCGGUAGCUGGUCUGAGAGGAUGGAUCAGCCACACGUGGACUGAGACACGGCCCAGACUCCGUACGGGAGCAGCGAGGUAGGGUAAUUUUGGACAAGUGGGGGACAACCGUGA